UUGAUUCAUUUGUUUGUUGCCUUUCGGCCACUCAGAUAAAACUGUAUAAAACAGAAGAGUUUGAAAUCUCCGGCGGACGCCUGAUUCCAGAGGCCGUGAAGCCACCUGGGACGAUCCGCCGAAGCAACAAUAUGGUAAGUUCACAUAGGGUUUGGGAGUUGAAUAAACUCGAUAAUGAUCCCUCCGCUGGUUCACCAACGGAGA
RNAcentral lists this unclassified non-coding RNA (204 nucleotides) under uncultured fungus. Its description in RNAcentral is "sequence contains ITS1". Lineage: Eukaryota; Fungi. The record is from RNAcentral.